This 292-nucleotide ribosomal RNA is filed under the name uncultured bacterium. RNAcentral describes it as "partial 16S ribosomal RNA". It matches the Rfam family "Bacterial small subunit ribosomal RNA", at positions 505 to 796 of the family's 1533-position model. The record is from RNAcentral.
GUGUCAGCAGCCGCGGUAAGACGAACCGUGCGAACGUUAUUCGGAAUAACUGGGCUUAAAGGGAGCGUAGGCGGGCUAUCAAGUCUGGGGUGAAAUCCCACGGCUCAACCGUGGAACUGCCUUAGAUACUGACGGCCUCGAGGGAGAUAGGGGCAUGCGGAACUGUAGGUGGAGCGGUGAAAUGCGUUGAUAUCUACAGGAACUCCGGUGGCGAAAGCGGCGUGCUGGAUCUCUUCUGACGCUGAGGCUCGAAAGCUAGGGGAGCAAACGGGAUUAGAAACCCUCGUAGUCC